UCAGCAAGAUGAGCAACCGCUCCCGUUCGCGUAAGUGAAAUUAGGGGGAGGAAAGUCCGAACACUUACUUUUUAAUUAAAAAGUUAAAAUGGUAGCGGGUAACACCCGUCGGCGGUAACGCCAGAGGUGCGAACAGAAACGACCCGGUUAAGUCCGGCUGAAACGGCUAAAUCCUUACCUAAGUGCAAGAACAAAGCCCUGAUUAUUGCUUCAUCAGUAAAAGGGGUUAAAAGUAGUUCGCUUGAUCCUAACAGUAAUGUUAUGGACAGACAGAUGGUUGCUUAAUACAGAAUUCGGCUUAUAGUCUUGCUGGGACA
This 317-nucleotide RNase P RNA is filed under the name Candidatus Staskawiczbacteria bacterium. RNAcentral describes it as "RNase P RNA component class A". It matches the Rfam family "Bacterial RNase P class A". From Rfam's summary of the family: Ribonuclease P (RNase P) is a ubiquitous endoribonuclease, found in archaea, bacteria and eukarya as well as chloroplasts and mitochondria. Its best characterised activity is the generation of mature 5'-ends of tRNAs by cleaving the 5'-leader elements of precursor-tRNAs. The record is from RNAcentral. Lineage: Bacteria; Candidatus Staskawicziibacteriota.